UGGGCAUGGAACCAUGUCAAGCUCAAUUGCUUAUCUAAAUGCAUCUCAAACAAAAGAUAAUGAUUCAAUUGAUGAUAUAUUAGAAAGUCCUUUAUAAUUAUCAUCCUGUUUUGGCCAAAGUCUUUCAGAAUCAUCAACCUAUGAGAUCACAUAGGAUGUUCGCUCCCCUUAUUAAGAGUGACUGAUCGCUUAUUGAUCACUCAUGAUCUCUAUGUACA
This 218-nucleotide long non-coding RNA is filed under the name Elaeis guineensis (African oil palm). RNAcentral's name for it is "long non-coding RNA (EGUI_LNC047943)". Lineage: Eukaryota; Viridiplantae; Streptophyta; Magnoliopsida; Arecales; Arecaceae. The record is from RNAcentral.